Molecule: non-coding RNA, 413 nt
Organism: Dermatophagoides farinae (American house dust mite)
Lineage: Eukaryota; Metazoa; Arthropoda; Arachnida; Sarcoptiformes; Pyroglyphidae
Source: RefSeq, a predicted model, not a curated record
CUUUUUUUUCUUUGAUUUUCACAUAUAUAUAUAGGUGUGAAUAUAUGCAUUUUUUUCUGUUCAUUCUUGAAUCGUUCAUAGUUGGAUGAGGAAAAAUAGCGAAAAAAAAUCAUUUUUGAAUGCACUGUUGGAAGUUUAGUUUGGUUAUGAUUUGUUUUGAGGAUUGCUGAUGAUCAAACAUCAUUUAUCAAGCAAUCAACCAAAGAACAACCACCACGAUCGUGUAGCUAAAAUCAAAUAAUAAAACUGGUUCAGCAUGGUGAGCCUCUCUAAAUGAUGUUAUGGAUAUUGAAGAAGAAAAAAUUUUAUUUCUUCUCAAUGACCAAAUCGAUAAUUUCCAAUAAUCGUUAUUGAUGAUUUCAUGAUAAAUAAACAUUCAUUCCAAUUGAAAAAAAAUAAAAAUAAAAUCAAAU